RNAcentral lists this ribosomal RNA (436 nucleotides) under uncultured bacterium. Its description in RNAcentral is "partial 16S ribosomal RNA". It matches the Rfam family "Bacterial small subunit ribosomal RNA", at positions 27 to 507 of the family's 1533-position model. The record is from RNAcentral.
GAGCGAACGCUGGCGGCAGGCUUACCACAUGCAAGUCGAGCGGGCAUCUUCGGAUGUCAGCGGCAGACGGGUGAGUAACACGUGGGAACGUACCCUUCGGUUCGGAACAACUCUGGGAAACUGGAGCUAAUACCGGAUACGCCCUUAUGGGGAAAGGUUUACUGCCGAAGGAUCGGCCCGCGUCUGAUUAGCUAGUUGGUGGGGUAACGGCCUACCAAGGCGACGAUCAGUAGCUGGUCUGAGAGGAUGAUCAGCCACACUGGGACUGAGACACGGCCCAGACUCCUACGGGAGGCAGCAGUGGGGAAUAUUGGACAAUGGGCGCAAGCCUGAUCCAGCCAUGCCGCGUGAGUGAUGAAGGCCUUAGGGUUGUAAAGCUCUUUUGUCCGGGACGAUAAUGACGGUACCGGAAGAAUAAGCCCCGGCUAACUUCGUG